Hypomesus transpacificus is the source of this 681-nucleotide long non-coding RNA. RefSeq lists it as uncharacterized. Lineage: Eukaryota; Metazoa; Chordata; Actinopteri; Osmeriformes; Osmeridae. The transcript is spliced from 4 exons. The record is from RefSeq and is a predicted model, not a curated record.
CUUACUUUAUGUUUAUGUUAAAUGUCUAUGUCCAGUAUAUAUGUUCUGUGAUGGCGGCCAUGGUUUAAUAAAUUAUAUUUGAACUUUUUGGGUCUAAGGGUCUAAUCAAUUCACUAAUAAGAGAAAAGACCAUCCUUUUUUAACUUUUUUUCUGUACAUUUAAAAUGUGUAUUCAUUAAUUCAUUGACGAUUCAGGUUAACGAAAACACAAAAAAGUUGAAAAGGAAAAAUAUGUCUGGUGACUUUUGAAUUCUCACCUUCUUCCAUAGAGAGGGUUCCGAGGCCAAACAGGAAGUGGCCGCAACCAUCCAGCAGUUACCCAGACUGCCCUGGUGCAGGUCCCGAGUGCUGAUGCCAUCCACGAACAGACGAGGGUCCUUACACAGUUCCUGAGGAGAGACAAGGAGAGAAAAAUAAAGGAUUUGAGCAAUUGAAGCCUUGUUUGGGAGCAGUGAGGACAAGACAGAUCCUGUCCUCAUGGACCUGUUGAUCUUACUCUUGACAUUCGGACUAUCAGCUAGCACAAUACCUGCUCUGGAAGACCCGUAGGCUUCUCCUCACUCUCCGAGCAGGAAGGAACUCACAGAGCCCAGGCAACCGACACGGGCUCGCAAGCUGUCGCUCGCUUCAGUACUUGACGAGCAUUACUGUCCACCAGGUUCCUGUCAAAGGAGGUUGAUG